AGAGGGGAGGAGGUGGGGAGGUGUCCUGGGGGAAGGAAGGGAAGGAGGCCUCGCCCACCUCCUCCAGCCCAGAGACUGCUACCAAGACCAGCCGGCUGGCAGCCCAGUGGAGCCCUGCGCCCUGGAGCAGUACCGCACACAGCUGCACCAGCAGGUGUGUGUUCUGAUGGAGGGGGCUGGUGGACUCCCUGUGUCAGCUGCUGGAGGAGGAUGCAGAGGCAUAGACACACACACACACACACACACACACACACACACACACACACAAAGAUCAAUUUGUGUAGUCUGAGUGUUCCACCCUCUUGGAUCCCACCUAAAUGUGUCUAUGAAGGUUAUUUUCUAAUCAAUAAACCUCGGAUGUCGAUAUGAGCUCAUCAAUAUCACUUA
Long non-coding RNA from Osmerus eperlanus (European smelt), 387 nucleotides. RefSeq lists it as uncharacterized. Lineage: Eukaryota; Metazoa; Chordata; Actinopteri; Osmeriformes; Osmeridae. The transcript has 2 exons. The record is from RefSeq and is a predicted model, not a curated record.